UUAAUGUCCAGGAGCGUGGCCUUCCGCAUGGGAGGUUGACAAGAGAUUUAUCGGUAUGGGAUGAGCUUGCGUCCGAUUAGCUAGUUGGCGGGGCAACGGCCCACCAAGGCGACGAUCGGUAGCCGGCCUGAGAGGGUGAUCGACCACAUUGGGACUGAGAUACGGCCCAGACUCCUACGGGAGGCAGCAGUAGGGAAUAUUGCACAAUGGGGGAAACCCUGAUGCAGCAACGCCACGUGUGGGAAGAAGCAUUUCGGUGUGUAAACCACUGUCGUGAGGGAAUAAGGCGUCUUCUCGGAGGCGUUGAAUGUACCUCGAAAGGAAGCACCGGCAAACUUCGUGCCAGCAGCCGCGGUAAUACGAGGGGUGCAAGCGUUGUUCGGAAUCACUGGGCGUAAAGGGAGCGUAGGCGGAGAUGCAAGCGGACUGUACAAUACCGGGGCCCAACCCCGGGCCUGCAGUUCGGACUGCACCUCUUGGAUAGUUCAGGGGCAGGCGGAAUUCCUGGUGUAGCGGUGGAAUGCGUAGAGAUCAGGAAGAACACCGAUGGCGAANGCNGCCUGCUGGGGACUCAUCGACGCUGAGGCUCNAAAGUGCGGGUAGCAAACAGGAUUAGAUACCCUGGUAGUCCGCACCGUAAACGAUGCAUAC
This 651-nucleotide ribosomal RNA is filed under the name uncultured Fibrobacter sp. RNAcentral describes it as "bacterial SSU rRNA". It matches the Rfam family "Bacterial small subunit ribosomal RNA", at positions 163 to 816 of the family's 1533-position model. The record is from RNAcentral. Lineage: Bacteria; Pseudomonadati; Fibrobacterota; Fibrobacteria; Fibrobacterales; Fibrobacteraceae.